RNAcentral lists this ribosomal RNA (247 nucleotides) under uncultured bacterium. RNAcentral's name for it is "partial 16S ribosomal RNA". It matches the Rfam family "Bacterial small subunit ribosomal RNA", at positions 523 to 769 of the family's 1533-position model. The record is from RNAcentral.
AGACGAGGGAUCCUAGCGUUGCUCGGAAUCAUUGGGCGUAAAGCGGGUGUAGGUGGCUUUAUAAGUCAGGUGUGAAAGCCCAGGGCUCAACCCUGGAAGUGCAUUUGAUACUGAUCAUCUUGAGUUUGUGAGAGGUGAGUGGAAUACCGAGUGUAGAGGUGAAAUUCGUAGAUAUUCGGUGGAACACCAGUGGCGAAGGCGACUCACUGGCACAAUACUGACGCUGGGGUGCGAAAGCGUGGGGAUC